Molecule: ribosomal RNA, 522 nt
Filed under: Triticum aestivum (bread wheat)
Lineage: Eukaryota; Viridiplantae; Streptophyta; Magnoliopsida; Poales; Poaceae
Description: partial small subunit ribosomal RNA
Source: RNAcentral
AUGGACUCCUCCUCCUCCUCCGCCUCCGCCCACGGCAGCGGCGCCGGCGCCGGCCUGCUGGGCCGCGGCGGGGGCAAGGGUGGGAGCAGCGGCGCCGGCAAUGGCAGCGGCAGCGGGAGCGGGAUCGGCGGGGACAGCACGUCGACCAUCGGCGGCGGCGGCGCGUCGGCGGACGCGUGGACCCGGCUCGUCAGCUCCGGCGUUGAGGACGACCUGGUGUGCGCCGUGGGAGCCGGGGCGGGGUUCGGGGCCGGAGGGCUGCCGUACGGCUACUUCCUCGACGCCUGCUUCCUCUGCCGGAAGCCGAUCGCCAGCAACCGCGACAUCUUCAUGUACAGAGGGGACAUCGCGUUCUGCAGCGAGGAGUGCAGGACGGAGCAGAUGGAGGCGGACGAGGAGAUGGAGAGGAAGGAGAAGAGCGCGUCCGCCAAGAAGCUGUCGCAGAGGCCGCCGUCCCUGGGCGAGGUGGAGUCCCCGCCGCGGCCGCCCAAGACCAGGGCCGGCUCAAUCCUCGCCGGCUGA